Molecule: ribosomal RNA, 414 nt
Filed under: uncultured bacterium
Lineage: Bacteria
Description: bacterial SSU rRNA
Rfam family: Bacterial small subunit ribosomal RNA
Source: RNAcentral
CAUGCAAGUCGAGGGGUAGAGGAAGCUUGCUUCCUUGAGCCGGCGCACGGGUGGUAACGCGUAUGCAACCUACCUUUUCCCGAGGGAUAGCCCAGAGAAAUUUUAUUAAUCCCUCAUGGUAUAUAUCAUUCGCAUGUUUGAUAUAUUAAAGUUCCAACGGUAAAAGAUGGGCAUGCGUCCUAUUAGCUAGAUGGUAAGGUUUUUGGCUUACCAUGGCACCGAUAGGUAGGGGUCCUGAGAGGGGUCCCCCACACUGGUACUGAGACACGGACCAGACUCCUACGGGAGGCAGCAGUGAGGAAUAUUGGACAAUGGGCGCAAGCCUGAUCCAGCCAUGCCGCGUGCAGGAAGAAGCAUCUAUGGUGUGUAAACUGCUUUUGUACGGGAAGAAACACUCCUUCGUGAAGGAGCUUG